This 1684-nucleotide long non-coding RNA is filed under the name Volvox carteri. RNAcentral describes it as "long non-coding RNA (VCAR_LNC003175)". The record is from RNAcentral. Lineage: Eukaryota; Viridiplantae; Chlorophyta; Chlorophyceae; Chlamydomonadales; Volvocaceae.
GAUUCUUAAUUCAUUGCCUCAAAGGAGAGGUCGCCGAGCUUUUCCAUGAGAUUUUGCGGACGGCUUAGGGUUUUACCGAGUCCUUUCCAUUAGAUGAGUACGGCUGUAACCACCCUUCCGUUACCCUGGAAUUAGGGUCUUACAGCAGAGAGGAGGCUCUCAAUGUUAGAGUAAUCCAAAGUCUUCCAUGUAAUGAGUCCGCUUGUUUCGGACAUAACUCAAGCGUAAGAUCCGAUGAGUGAAUUUCUUGUGCACUUUCUCGUACGAGAUAAAGCACGGAAGAGUGGUAAGCAAGGCCACGGGACGCGCUGUAGGAGAGCACCUGCGCUAUCCGUACAUUGCUCGUCCGUUCUGGUACCAACCACGGGUCGUUCGACAACCGCCACAGCAUAUACGCAAUCGGGUGACCCGAUUCGGGUCGGACCCGCAGAUGCGCCGCCUUGACAGUGACUUGCGCUGUAGCAAGGGCGAUAUAACACAGAAGCUGUGGAUGGUCAAACCAACUAAAAGUCGCGGGGCCCGGUAAUUGUGGAUCCCGCAACGCUACCGCGGCUUCGCAAAUACCGUGCCGCCCAUUAUCCCUUCACCGCUUUACGUACUUUCAACCUACCCACUAUAGCAACCCCCCCAGCAAGACGUGCACAACUCCAGCUGUUCUGUUACAUAAACAAUCACCCCACGCGUUCGACCUCCACGGGGCCCCUCAUCCCAGCACCCUCGUGCCUGCACCUGCCGUAGUCCCCAACCCCUUCCCUUCGCCCGUGUUCAUUCCUUAUUCCCCCUGACCACUUCCAUUGCCUAGGUUCAACUUCCUUGCCUAGGUCCAACUCCUGCUGCUUUGAAAACGUGGUGCCAACCACCGUGCAACCCAAGCCGGGUCGCCCACUCUAGCCGUCACAACAUUACAUUCGUUAUCAUCAUGCGCAAAAUGUAAGGGACCUCCGCGUAACGCCAUUGCUAUCCCUACUGCGUUAACACCGCCAUGUCAUGCUUCCUGGCCGGGCACCCCAUACCAAGGGCACACUCUUCACUGCAGCAGCCGUGUCACAAUGCCCACUGCCAGUGUACGGCCUCCCUCCCGCAGCGCCACUCGCCCGAGAGCUCGAUACUCCGAGUACUCCUCCAGCACCAAACCGCGAGCCGCAGUCACCUCCAGCAGCGCUAUCUGGCCCUUAGUCAGGCAGCGGGGACGGGACUGCAAGGGGGUGGGGGGAAGGAGGCCGACGCGGGAAAGCGGACCGGUCAGAGGUAGUGGAAGCGGAGGGGGGAGCCGGGGGUAGAAAGGUUUAAACACCUAAGAACGCGGUAGGGGAAGAGGAGGGCAAUGCUGUGGAAGUGGGAAUAUAAACCAACCUCGAGGAAAGCUAGCAGUGGCGUCUUAAGAACCUCACCUCCCCGUUUUCUCCUUAUUCCCACAAGGGAACUCCGCUACCCCGCAAACCCCGGACUCCCAACACGUAACCCAAGCCAUGCAUGGCACCUGGUUCCCAGCGCCAAGCCAAUCACCUCUCGCGUUUGGCGUUUGGCUCUUAUCACCGAACAAAAACUUCGCGCAAAAACCUAGCUCAUGCCUGGCUCAUUCACCGGAAAGCCCAUCUUGCCGAUCUUCCCGCUCCGUAAAUCCUUGGCCCCUUUUAGGGCCCCCCAUUCCGCCUACCUUGACCACCUCGCCGGUUCGCGGAUC